Molecule: transfer RNA, 83 nt
Filed under: Candidatus Sericytochromatia bacterium
Lineage: Bacteria; Bacillati; Candidatus Sericytochromatia
Rfam family: tRNA
About the family: Transfer RNA (tRNA) molecules are approximately 80 nucleotides in length. Their secondary structure includes four short double-helical elements and three loops (D, anti-codon, and T loops).
Source: Rfam by way of RNAcentral
GCUGAGGUGGCGAAAUCGGCAGACGCAGGGGACUUAAAAUCCCCCGGAUUUAUUCCGUAUGGGUUCAAGUCCCAUCCUCAGCA